CUUCCUCAGUUGCUCUGGUUGAUUGUAGUUCAUAAUCUGUAUUGAUAUCCAAUCUUUUGCGCCCUUUUUUUGCUCUCCUCUCCCUGUUCGCGGCAUUUUUGUUUCCGCGUUCCACCGGUGGAACGCAUCAAUCGAGUCACUUCCGGUUUCGGCUUUUGUGUUCCACUAGUGGAACGCAUGCAAUAUUCCUCCGGUUUUCGUGUGUUUAGAU
Non-coding RNA from Pelobates cultripes (western spadefoot toad), 211 nucleotides. Lineage: Eukaryota; Metazoa; Chordata; Amphibia; Anura; Pelobatidae. The record is from the annotation of a GenBank genome assembly.